CCAGUGAUCCUUAAUCAGGAAGCUCAACUUAUUGAUAUUCUAAAAGUAUAUAAAGAAGUUGUUGGAUGAGAUAUCUCUGAAAUGAGGGAUAACGAUAUUGAGAUGUUUAUGACUGGUUUUUUGAUAUUUGGCACUACUUUCAAGAACCGCCUUCAAAACUUAUCUACCAUACUAAAAUGAUGUAUGGAGAUAGAGUUAAUGUUAAUUUGAAAAAAGUGCUAGGCUUU
Molecule: long non-coding RNA, 227 nt
Filed under: Elaeis guineensis (African oil palm)
Lineage: Eukaryota; Viridiplantae; Streptophyta; Magnoliopsida; Arecales; Arecaceae
Description: long non-coding RNA (EGUI_LNC029413)
Source: RNAcentral